AUGGUGUUCAAGGGCGCGCUGUUGUUCUUGGUCGUCUGCGCGGCUGCUCGAGCUGCUUCAGCCGGCGAUGGCCCGCUGCCGAACGGCAACUUCGAGGACUCGCCGGACAGGUUCCAAAUGGACGGCUCGAGGGUGACGGGGGCGAACGCCAUCCCACAGUGGAAGAUCACCGGGCACGUGGAGUACAUCGAGUCCGGGCAGAAGGAGGGCGACAUGAUCCUGACGGUGCCGGAGGGCUCGCACGCCGUGCGGCUGGGCGAGGAUGGCUCCAUCCACCAGCAGCUCAGCGUGGCGCCGGGCAUGCAGUACUCCGUCACCUUCAGCGCGGCGCGCACAUGCGCCCAGUACGAGAAGCUGACCGUGUCGGUCGUCCCCGGCGACGCGUCCGACGAGAUCUCCAUCCAGACGGUGUACACCAGCAGCGGCUGGGACUCCUACUGCUGGGCUUUCCAGGCCACGAACGACGUCAUGACGCUCACCAUCCAUAACCCCGUCCACGAGGACGACCCCGCCUGCGGCCCCAUGAUCGACUCCGUCGCCAUCAAGACGCUCUACCCUCCUCAGGCCACCGGCGAUAACCUGCUGAGGAACGGGGACUUCGAGCAGGGGCCGUACAUCGCGCCGGGAUCACCAUUUGGUGUGCUGGUGCCGCAGAGGGACGAAAACCACAUCUCGCCGAUCUCGGGGUGGAUGAUCAUGUCCUACUCCAAGGUCGUCAAGUACGUGGACUCGCCGCACUACGCGGUGCCGCACGGCUCCUACGCCGUGGAGCUGGUUUCCGGAGGGGAGGCCGCGCUGGUGCAGGAGGUGGAGACCGUGCCGGGGAGCGCGUGCAAGCUGGAGUUCUCGGUCGGGAACUCCGGCAACCGGUGCGAGUCGAGCGACGAACAGCCCAUGCGCGUGCUGGUCUCCACGGCGGGCGGGAGCAAGACCGUGGUGCACCGCUCCGACGGCAACGGCGGGGGCACCACGCGCGCCUCGCUGGAGUUCACGGCGAUCCAUAGCCGGACCAAGGUGGUGUUCUCCGGCUCCAGCUACCACACCAAGUCCGACAGCAGCGGCACCCGCUGCGGGCCCGUCGUCGACGACGCCUCGCUCGUCUGCGUUCCGCCGACGCCUGCCCGCCGGUUGCUUCGCUGA
RNAcentral lists this ribosomal RNA (1140 nucleotides) under Triticum aestivum (bread wheat). RNAcentral describes it as "partial small subunit ribosomal RNA". The record is from RNAcentral. Lineage: Eukaryota; Viridiplantae; Streptophyta; Magnoliopsida; Poales; Poaceae.